CUUACGGGAGGCAGCAGCUAAGAAUAUUCCGCAAUGGGGGAAACCCUGACGGAGCAAUCUCUCAUGGAUGAUGAAUGUCUUCGGAUUGUAAAAUCCUUUCGGUAAGGAAGAAUGUGUAGAGUAGGAAAUGGCUCUGCAUUGACGGUACUUGCAGAAGAAGUCCCGGCUAACUACGUGCCAGCAGCCGCGGUAAU
Molecule: ribosomal RNA, 194 nt
Filed under: uncultured bacterium
Lineage: Bacteria
Description: partial 16S ribosomal RNA
Rfam family: Bacterial small subunit ribosomal RNA
Source: RNAcentral